CUGCCUGUGGAUUGAUUGUUGUUCUUGGCAUCAAGAUGAUGUUAAUUUAAUUUUUAACAUUGUGAAUACUGAGAUGAUUUUUUCUAAGAGUACAGAUGAUGAAGAUGAGAGUGAUUGUAAUACUAAUACCAGCACGAUCCAAACGUCUAUGAAAAAGAAAGCUAAGUGAGUGUUUUUUAUUACAGAUGGUAGGACACAAGUAAGUAGUUAGGUGCAUAACCGAAGCAGCAUACUGCAUAAUACGAAGAAAAGAAUUUGGAAUUGAGCAUGAUGGAAAAGGAAAUGAGCGCAUAACAGAGACUGAAUCUUACAAGUUGGGGCUGAAACAGAGAAGGCAGAGAGUUUUUUCAUCAAUUUGGAUCAAACUCUAUAAAGUGGCUUGAUGAAAAAAUUAUCAUCAUAAAGAUUUACAGAGAGGCAAACAAAGAAAGAGCACAAAUUUUGGUCAGAAAUGAAACAGAAUCCAGAUCUACUUCUGUUGAGUUUUCUUGUGGAAUAGAUGCUGAACUCUUAAACAGAAUGAUGCAGGCAAUUCACUUUCAAUCCAAUCCAAUAAUAUUUGCUGAACAUGGACUGUGUAACAAUAGUCUGUCAGGUGGUAGAUCAGAAGUGGAAAAGAAAUAAUAUCAUGAAAA
This is a long non-coding RNA of Mustela erminea (ermine), 635 nucleotides long. RefSeq lists it as uncharacterized. The transcript is spliced from 3 exons. NCBI's taxonomy places the organism in Eukaryota, Metazoa, Chordata, Mammalia, Carnivora, Mustelidae. The record is from RefSeq and is a predicted model, not a curated record.